RNAcentral lists this unclassified non-coding RNA (4692 nucleotides) under Haliotis rubra (blacklip abalone). RNAcentral describes it as "monocarboxylate transporter 12-like, transcript variant X1". The record is from RNAcentral. Lineage: Eukaryota; Metazoa; Mollusca; Gastropoda; Lepetellida; Haliotidae.
AGACAAACCACGGGGCUGGCUGAUAAUUAUUCAUGAGCGUUCCGCCAUGAUGUUCCUUGAAUGACAUCCGCGCUUGUUAGAAGCGAUCAGUUAUCAGUUGUGUCCAAUAACUGGCAACUUGACCCGCAGUACCUCGCGACCACUGGAGUCGUCCUAACUCGCCGAGCCUCACAGAGACAUGUGAGGGCAUUAAACAGACUAAAUGAUCGUCGUUACAAUUAAGCGGAAGUCCACGAUGAACGAGGAGGAUGGCUACCGGAAGUGGGUCGUCGUCAUGGCCGCCUUCUUUACACAGUUCAUAGUGUGCGGUAUCACGUACAGUCUCGGCGUCUUCCACGUCAUCUUCAGGGACAUCUUCCAGAAGAACCACUUCGACACGUCAUGGGUUGGGUCGGUGCUGCUAUACGUCACCGCUCUCUCCAGUGUUAUGCUACGGUUUGUAGCGAGUAUGUGGGGGUGCCGUGUCAGCGUCAUGGCCGGGGGGCUUCUGGCGGCUACAGGGCUGUCGUUAGGACUCUUCGUCAAUGAACUGUAUCAAGUGUAUCUCACUUUCGGACUGCUCACAGGUAUUGGCUUCGGACUGGCGUGCUCUCCAUCUAUAGUUGCUGUAGAGCGUUACUUCAUCCAUGGGCGAUUCCAGGCGUUGAGCGUCGUGGUCGGUGGGGUGGGGGCAGGCAUCAUCACCUUCCCCAUCAUCAUCAGACACAUGCUGGACAUGUUUGCGUGGAGGGGAACUCUCCUCCUCCUGGGCGGGGUGUCGCUCAACCUGUGCGUGUGUGGUGCCCUGCUCAAGCCUCUACCUGGGAAGAAGGAGGUGCGCCUCCUGCCCCUCCUGUCGUGCCUCCCCCUCCGACACCCUCUGUUUCAUGGCAUGUGCAUCGCCAACCUCUUCUGGAGCUUCGGCUCCACCAUCAUCUACAUGUAUUUGCCAUCCUAUGCAAUAUCGCAAGGAACGGAUUUCGAGAGCUCCACGUUCCUCGUGGCUUGUGUCGGCAUGGCUAGCUUCACCAGCAGGAUGAUAUUCGCAUUUAUGGGCCACAACAGCACGCUUGAUGACGUGACGUCGGUGUUGUGCCCCGUAGGACUAGGCGUGGUUGUCACCGGCAUCUGCCCACUAUUGUUCAAAGACUUCACGGGUCAGAUCGGGUACACGUUACUAUUCGGCUUCUACAGCGGAUAUUGGACAACAUUCCUCUCUCAAGCAUCCCGGGAGCUUCUCGGCCCGGAAUAUAUUGCCAUGGGCAACGGGUACCUGUGUUUCAUGAUAGCCUUGGGCUGCCUUACCGGAGGACCAGCGGCAGGUUUGCUGAUUCAGCUAGAAAUGGAAUACAAGUACGCCUUCUACCUAGCAGGGGCGUGUCUGCUGUGGAGCUCUGUCAUCAUGGUGCUGUUCAAGAUCAAGCGUUGUGUGGUGGCCAACAAGCCCCUCACUGACCACAAGGUGCCCCUCAUGGAGGGCGAGGAGGACUACAAGGACACAGAGAAGACUCCGCCGGCGGCAGAUGACAUCGUUGUACAUGCUGUGGUAACCUCGGUAUGAGUUAACAUCAACAACAUUACCAAAUAGACUGUUCCGUUUGGAAAAAGGCUCCGAGUUAGAGACCGAAUGGAAGGUGCCAAGUUUCUUUUGGUGAUUGUGCCACGUGUGGAGACUCCUGGCUGUGCUGGCUGCAGCGGACUCUGUGUGGAGCUGCCGUCGACACUGCAUGUAUAUGUGGCACAAUCCAGAUUAUUUCUCAAGCCGUUUCAAUGGCGACAUUUUACAUCUUUGUUCCUAGCCUACUCCACGCUGGAUGGAGAAUACACGUUUUUUCUUUACGCCGUGUUGAAUACAUGACGUAAAUCACUAUGCAAGCCGGUCUCUGGCCCCCUUGGCAGAUGGGAUUCGGCCAAUGUAGAUAUGUGUGAGUGGAUUUGGAACGAGGUUCAGUAGGUGCCAUUUGUGUGGGUGUGACUGUCCAUCUGCCUAGUUCAUUGUCAGCUACGUGUCAAGAAAUACAACUGGACCAAUUAUUAUUAUUAUUUUGUUUAACAUAUUUACUUAAUCUCUAAAUGGGGCCGAGAUGAAACGUGAUUGUUGUUGUCUCUUUUUUAAAAUGACAAGGGCAGUCCUGGGCCAACCACCAUUGAUAUUACUUUGAAUGCUUUCAGUAAAACUAUGUAUGUUAUGUUGCCUUCAAUGAAGCAAGCACUGGUUUGAAAUACAUACACAUUGAGACACGAUUUCCUAAUAUUCUGUUCAAUUCGGCAAAGUUAAAACAAGAAACACGUUGGUCUGGCGUUUAUGAGGUAUGUUGGAAAGUGUGAAACUACAACCGGAGAUUAUUAACGAUUUACCAAUGGCAUUGUUCCUACAGUAUUCUGGUUCAUAUGGAUAUUUCUGUUGGAAUCCAUUGUUGAUUAUGACUUAUGAGGACACAUGUCUGUUGCUGUCUAUAGUUGAUUAAGACUUGUGUGAACAAAUGUCUGUAGCAGUCUGUUGUUGAUUUGUGUGGACAAAGUCAACACCGUUACCAGUCUGAUGUUUUACACGACAGCAUCUGCGUCGAGAAGACCCCUUGUCAUUCCUGAAUACCUGCCCUGCAUCUGUUCAGUCUUGGUCAACCACUAUAUGCCUUUGUUAUUUUUAGAUAUACUGUCUGCUCCACAACUAAUCUAUAACAAUGAUGAACUUUCAUAAACCCUUGUCAAUAUUCCCCCAAGUUUGGGUGAACGCUGAUGGAUCUAAUGUAUACAUUCAUUUAAGAACGGGACUCUUAUUGUCAAUUUGGUUAUCAAAGGGAGGUAAUCAGUCCGUUUUUGUCAGGUACGUACGAUCAGACAUCAGACACUAUGCACAAACAAUGCAGGAUAGCUGCGAGUUAUCCACUUAUUUAUUAUGAUACGUCAAUAGUUCAUGUAAAUACAAUAUACGAUAUUAUAGACAAGCAGUUUUGUUUAUACUUUAGAUAGUGGCAUAUUUUUCAUCUACUGUCUCGUCAAGUGUUGCAUUCUCAAAGACAUUUUUCAAGAAAUAGUGGAACUUACAUCGACCGCGGCCUUAACUAGAGCAUACGUUCAUGUAUAAAGAGGGCGUACUUUUCAGUCACAAAAUGCGAUAUUGCAGCAACAGAAAGAUAAUAAUAGUGAGUUUACGUAUGUCAACAAUGUUACUUAGGAUGACAUGUUUGAAGUGUGCCCUGUUGAUAAGUACCCGGAUGUAGUAAGUGUUUGAACAUGUAAAAGUAAAAUGUGUUGCCAGCAGUGCACCAAUGGUACAACGGCGCCAUAGGUUCCAAUAAUGUCUCCCCACCGCCAUAGUGUAAUCCUCGGGACAGACUCGGAUCCUUCCAAGCUGCUGUUUAUAACGAGGCAGUCUGUGAGUGACAAUCAAAGAAGUCUAUCUUCAACAAACAGGUCGCAUGGACAUAGUUGUAAAGUGGGUCUUGAGGUACAUCCCUUGCUGUUGCUUUCCACGCUCCCAACACCCACUGAAUCUACUAACUGCGUACGGUCUCAAAGAACCGUAUGUCCCAGUUUCAAAGUAGGGCCAGAUAGUGCGGGACUGGUCAAGCAUCAAGAGUAUCCCGUCAGCACAAUUCCUCAGGUCGCCGAUAUACAUCUUGACUAGUUACAGGUCGCCACUAUACAUCUUGACUAGUUACAGGUCGCCGAUAUACGGCUUGACCAUGUACAGGUUGCCGAGAUGUUGAUUGUCCAUUUUCAGCCCGCCUAGGUAUAGCUCGACUUACUACACGUUACUGAGGUACAGACUGACUGUGUACAGCUUGUCGACAUAGUUUCACAUAUAAGAGGUUGCUGACAGGGAGCUCGACCACGAGGGGUCGAUGAAAAAUAUAGCAUGGCAGUGUGCGGUUGGCAAGAAAUAGCUCGACUACGUACAUUCUGCUAACAUAUUGCAUGGUUAUGUUCAGGUUGCCGAGGUACAGGUUGACUGUACACAUAUUGCCAGGAUAUAGCUCCGCCAUAUAUGGAUCGCCGACGUAUUGGUUAAUACUGUCUGCAGACACUGGAAGCAGAUUCCGACAUAGAGUACAGCUGGCUGUGCACACCGUAUGCUCACCAUCUCCUGUCCCCAUCGUUCACAGUAUACCAAAUGUUGUCUAUAUAUUAAUAAGACUCAAGUGUGAAGUACUUAUACCAUGUAGUAUUUUGUUGUGUUAUCAGUCCAUACAAUUCCUGCGUCUGGUCCAGCCGGCUGUAGUUAGUCAUGUUCUGAUGUUCUGAUGGUGGAAGAUCUGAACACAGUCGAUGGAGGCCUUUGAGGUCACGAGUUCAGUAGGGUAGAUGAGGUAAGCCCAGAAACUGUUGCUGUGUAGAUACUACAAUGGAACUGGACGCGAGGAAUUUACAAUGGAAACAAUUUAUACUUGGGUAAUGUAACGGAUCGGUUUGGUAUGUACGUCACUCUUAAAGAAUGGUGUCUUCCUUCUUGCACGAAUUCUCAUUGUCACGCACGAGACACGUCGCGCGGGUAACGAUGUCCAUGUAGAUGUAGGUCUUGUGACCCGGGCCACUCCGAGGUGACGGCCGCUGCUGGUAUGCUGUAGUUAGGUGACUGAGAUUCCGCUGUACAUAGAGUGGUGGUGACGUGUAUGAGUGUCAAGGGAUAUACGUGACUGUAUAUAGUUUCUUCAUGUUUGAGAUUAUCUGUCAUUUGGGACAUUAAUAAAACAAGUUGGUAUUUGUCAA